GCCCGGUUAGCUCAAUCGGUAGAGCGUGAGACUCUUAAUCUCAAGGUUGCGGGUAAGCGUUCUCGGAA
This is a non-coding RNA of Xylaria telfairii, 68 nucleotides long. NCBI's taxonomy places the organism in Eukaryota, Fungi, Ascomycota, Sordariomycetes, Xylariales, Xylariaceae. The record is from the annotation of a GenBank genome assembly.